UACAGAGGUCCCAAGCGUUGUUCGGAUUCAUUGGGCGUAAAGGGUGUGUAGGUGGCGCGCUAAGUCGGGUGUGAAAUUUCGGAGCUUAACUCCGAAACUGCAUUCGAUACUGCGGUGCUUGAGGACUGGAGAGGAGACUGGAAUUCAUGGUGUAGCAGUGAAAUGCGUAGAGAUCAUGAGGAAGACCAGUGGCGAAGGCGGGUCUCUGGACAGUUCCUGACGCUGAGGCGCGAAAGCCAGGGGAGCGAACGGG
This 253-nucleotide ribosomal RNA is filed under the name uncultured bacterium. RNAcentral describes it as "partial 16S ribosomal RNA". It matches the Rfam family "Bacterial small subunit ribosomal RNA", at positions 524 to 776 of the family's 1533-position model. The record is from RNAcentral.